Molecule: ribosomal RNA, 446 nt
Filed under: uncultured bacterium
Lineage: Bacteria
Description: partial 16S ribosomal RNA
Rfam family: Bacterial small subunit ribosomal RNA
Source: RNAcentral
CCUACGGGUAGCAGCAGUCGAGAAUCAUUCACAAUGGGGGAAACCCUGAUGGUGCGACGCCGCGUGGGGGAAUGAAGGUCUUCGGAUUGUAAACCCCUGUCAUGUGGGAGCAAAUUAAAAAGAUAGUACCACAAGAGGAAGAGACGGCUAACUCUGUGCCAGCCGCCGCGGUAAUACAGAGGUCUCAAGCGUUGUUCGGAAUCACUGGGCGUAAGGCGUGCGUAGGCUGUUUCGUAAGUCGUGUGUGAAAGGCGCGGGCUCAACCCGCGGACGGCACAUGAUACUGCGAGACUAGAGUAAUGGAGGGGGAACCGGAAUUCUCGGUGUAGCAGUGAAAUGCGUAGAUAUCGAGAGGAACACUCGUGGCGAAGGCGGGUUCCUGGACAUUAACUGACGCUGAGGCACGAAGGCCAGGGGAGCGAAAGGGAUUAGAUACCCUAGUAGUC